GAGCGGCAGCAUGAUGUGUAGCAAUACACAUUGAUGGCGAGCGGCGGACGGGUGAGUAAUGCAUAGGGAUCUGCCCAGUAGCGGGGGACAACCCGGAGAAAUCCGGGCUAAUACCGCAUACGCCCUACGGGGGAAAGGGGAGGACCGAAAGGCUUCCCACUAUUGGAGGAACCUAUGCCCGAUUAGCUAGUUGGUGAGGUAACGGCUCACCAAGGCGACGAUCGGUAGCUGGUCUGAGAGGACGAUCAGCCACACCGGAACUGAGACACGGUCCGGACUCCUACGGGAGGCAGCAGUGGGGAAUAUUGGACAAUGGGGGAAACCCUGAUCCAGCAAUGCCGCGUGGGUGAAGAAGGCCUGCGGGUUGUAAAGCCCUUUCGGUGAGGACAAAACGCGACGUGCUAAUACCACGUUGUUUUGAUUUAACUCACUAAAGAAGCACCGGCUAACUCUGUG
RNAcentral lists this ribosomal RNA (456 nucleotides) under uncultured bacterium. Its description in RNAcentral is "bacterial SSU rRNA". It matches the Rfam family "Bacterial small subunit ribosomal RNA", at positions 64 to 507 of the family's 1533-position model. The record is from RNAcentral.